Long non-coding RNA from Perca fluviatilis (European perch), 482 nucleotides. RefSeq lists it as uncharacterized. NCBI's taxonomy places the organism in Eukaryota, Metazoa, Chordata, Actinopteri, Perciformes, Percidae. The transcript has 5 exons. The record is from RefSeq and is a predicted model, not a curated record.
UAACGUUAGCUUGAGGACACUUUGUGGAGGAAUUCAAGCCUACUGUUUUUAACGUUACUAGUAGGCUAUCACCUGUUGUCUUCAAACACGCCCAAAAGACAGUUUCCGGGGCGGCCGUUUUGGCAUAUCUGGCUACGUGUUUUCUUCCUAAAGGAAUUAAUCUGAGGUUGAAAUGCUACUGCUUCAAUUCAUCAAGGUAAGAUGUCGCUGCACUCUAUCCCCGCAAUGAACUUGAGCAGCUGGUGACAGCUUCACUUGGCUCCAGUUUGCUGGAGAUGCUGGGUGGAACAUGGAGGAAUGCGUUUGAAUCAAACCAUCGACAAUUCAACGUGGUUAAAGAAAACGAGAAGGUCACCGCAAGCUUUUUGUUCAGCAUGAAAAGUGGGCCUACCUGCGCAGCUCUGCCUGCAGGCUCUCUGUCAGCGCAGCUCUGCGCCGGGCUUCACUGUGCAGCUCUGUCUCGAGGCUCUCUGCCACCACAG